RNAcentral lists this non-coding RNA (27 nucleotides) under Rattus norvegicus (Norway rat). The record is from RNAcentral. Lineage: Eukaryota; Metazoa; Chordata; Mammalia; Rodentia; Muridae.
UGGGACCGUUCUCAUUAUUAGGUUGAU